RNAcentral lists this ribosomal RNA (116 nucleotides) under Heyndrickxia sporothermodurans. Its description in RNAcentral is "Bacillus sporothermodurans partial 16S ribosomal RNA". It matches the Rfam family "Bacterial small subunit ribosomal RNA", at positions 1 to 110 of the family's 1533-position model. Lineage: Bacteria; Bacillati; Bacillota; Bacilli; Caryophanales; Bacillaceae. The record is from RNAcentral.
CUUUUUGGAGAGUUUGAUCCUGGCUCAGGACGAACGCUGGCGGCGUGCCUAAUACAUGCAAGUCGAGCGAACUUGAUGGGAGCUUGCUCCUUGAUAGUUAGCGGCGGACGGGUGAG